AGUGAACGCUGGCGGCGUGCUUAACACAUGCAAGUCGAACGAGAACGGGUUAUAGCUUGCUAUAAUUGUCAGCUAAGUGGCGCACGGGUGAGUAAUGUAUAGGUAAUAUGCCUCUUACUAAGGGAUAACAAUUGGAAACGAUUGCUAAUACCUUAUACUCCUUAUUAACCUAAGUUAAUAAGGGAAAGAUUUAUUGGUAAGAGAUUAGCCUGUAUUGUAUCAGUUAGUUGGUGGGGUAAUGGCCUACCAAGACUAUGACACAUAACUGGUUUGAGAGGAUGAUCAGUCACACUGGAACUGAGACACGGUCCAGACUCCUACGGGAGGCAGCAGUGAGGAAUAUUGGACAAUGGUCGGAAGACUGAUCCAGCCAUGCCGCGUGAAGGUUACAGUCCUAUGGAUUUUAAACUUCUUUUGUAUGGAAGCAAUAAGGUGUACGCGUACACCGAUGAGAGUCCCAUACGAAUAAGCAUCGGCUAACUCCGUGCCAGCAGCCGCGGUAAUACGGAGGAUGCAAGCGUUAUCCGGAUUUAUUGGGUUUAAAGGGUGCGUAGGCGGAUAUGUAAGUCAGCGGUGAAACUCACAGGCUCAACCUGUGCCGUGCCGUUGAAACUGUGUAUCUGGAAUGCGGAUGCUGUGGGAGGAAUGUGUAGUGUAGCGGUGAAAUGCAUAGAUAUUACACAGAACACCGAUUGCGAAGGCAUCUCACAAAGCCGUUAUUGACGCUGAGGCACGAAAGUGUGGGGAUCAAACAGGAUUAGAUACCCUGGUAGUCCACUACUGUAAACUAUGAUAACUCGCUGCCAGCGACAGACAGUUGGUGGCCCAGCGAAAGCGAUAAGUUAUCCACCUGGGGAGUACGACCGCAAGGUUGAAACUCAAAGGAAUUGACGGGGGCCCGCACAAGCGGAGGAACAUGUGGUUUAAUUCGAUGAUACGCGAGGAACCUUACCCGGGCUCGAACGGCAGAUGUCGUAUACAGAGACGUAUACUCUCUUCGGAGCGUCUGUCGAGGUGCUGCAUGGUUGUCGUCAGCUCGUGCCGUGAGGUGUCGGCUUAAGUGCCAUAACGAGCGCAACCCUUGUCGAUAGUUGCCAUCGGGUCAAGCCGGGGACUCUAUCGAGACUGCCUCCGUAAGGUGAGAGGAAGGGGGGGAUGACGUCAAAUCAGCACGGCCCUUACGUCCGGGGCGACACACGUGUUACAAUGGUGGUUACAGAGGGCUGCUCCCUGGUGACAGGCUGCCAAUCUCCAAAAGCCAUCUCAGUUCGGAUCGGAGUCUGCAACUCGACUCCGUGAAGUUGGAUUCGCUAGUAAUCGCACAUCAGCCAUGGUGCGGUGAAUACGUUCCCGGGCCU
Molecule: ribosomal RNA, 1358 nt
Filed under: uncultured bacterium
Lineage: Bacteria
Description: bacterial SSU rRNA
Rfam family: Bacterial small subunit ribosomal RNA
Source: RNAcentral